CCAUCGGAUGUGCCCAGAUGGGAUUAGCUAGUAGGUGGGGUAAAGGCUCACCUAGGCGACGAUCCCUAGCUGGUCUGAGAGGAUGACCAGCCACACUGGAACUGAGACACGGUCCAGACUCCUACGGGAGGCAGCAGUGGGGAAUAUUGCACAAUGGGCGCAAGCCUGAUGCAGCCAUGCCGCGUGUAUGAAGAAGGCCUUCGGGUUGUAAAGUACUUUCAGCGGGGAGGAAGGGAGUAAAGUUAAUACCUUUGCUCAUUGACGUUACCCGCAGAAGAAGCACCGGCUAACUCCGUGCCAGCAGCCGCGGUAAUACGGAGGGUGCAAGCGUUAAUCGGAAUUACUGGGCGUAAAGCGCACGCAGGCGGUUUGUUAAGUCAGAUGUGAAAUCCCCGGGCUCAACCUGGGAACUGCAUCUGAUACUGGCAAGCUUGAGUCUCGUAGAGGGGGGUAGAAUUCCAGGUGUAGCGG
Molecule: ribosomal RNA, 471 nt
Filed under: Escherichia coli
Lineage: Bacteria; Pseudomonadati; Pseudomonadota; Gammaproteobacteria; Enterobacterales; Enterobacteriaceae
Description: bacterial SSU rRNA
Rfam family: Bacterial small subunit ribosomal RNA
Source: RNAcentral